Molecule: ribosomal RNA, 441 nt
Filed under: uncultured bacterium
Lineage: Bacteria
Description: partial 16S ribosomal RNA
Rfam family: Bacterial small subunit ribosomal RNA
Source: RNAcentral
CCUACGGGUGGCUGCAGUGGGGGAUAUUGCACAAUGGGGGGAACCCUGAUGCAGCGACGCCGCGUGGGGGAAGGAGUGCUUCGGCAUGUAAAGCCCUAUCGGCAGGGACGAAGCAAGACGGUACCUGACUAAGAAGCCCCGGCGAACUACGUGCCCGCAGCCGCGGUAAUACGGAGGGGGCGAGCGUGAUCCGGAUUCACUGGGUGUAAAGGGAGCGUAGACGGCCAUGCAAGCCAGGGGUGAAAGCCCGGGGCCCCACCCCGGGACUGCCCUUGAAACUGCAUGGCUGGAGUGCGGGAGGGGCAGGCGGAAUUACUGGUGUAGCGGUGAAAUGCGUAGAUAUCAGGAGGAACACCGGCGGCGAAGGCGGCCUGCUGGACUGCGACUGACGUUGAGGCUCGAAAGCGUGGGGAGCGAACAGGAUUAGAUACCCUUGUAGUC